AUUUUUAAGAUUGCAGUAAUAGAAAAAAUUAAUUCUGAUUCUGCUAAGUUGCUAAUUGAUUGUAAUGAUUAUGAUGUGACGAUUCAGAAGAAAAACGAUGUAGUACGAAUAAAACCGUGAAUAUUUCCUCCAAUUGAAGAAGAUGUUUCAUCGUUCAGCUGUGGCCGCAUAUUCACGAGGAAUGACUAUCACCUGAAGCAGAAACUUACUGGAGAGAAGCAGUAUGAGUGCCCACUCUGCAGCUUCUUGGGCACACAGGUCAUCUCUUACUGUACACAUUAGUGCAAAGUCUGCAACAAGAAAUUGGGGUAUAAAGUCAGUUUGUAGGAGCACAUGUCUACUCUUCCAGAUUGCUGAAUUGUGAAAGAAAGUAGAUUCUACCAGAUUGAUAAACUAUGAAAAAGCACUAACCACCCUAAGAAGAUUACACCAGAAUAAGUGGUUGCUCUAAAAGACCAGUUUAUAAAUAAUAAAAUUAAUUUAAUUAUAUUUAAAUAACAGCAUGCACAGUGUUGCCACUGUGUUAGUUCUAAUUCACUCUCUUAUGAUAUAGAUAUUAUAGUCUAUGAACAUGUACAACUAAUUAUUGUAACAUCACACAAGGUGAGUCAUUAUUUAAUGUACUCUAUGCUGCAUUGGUAUAUUGAUUUGUCCCCAAGUGAUAGGUAAAGGACUGUGACAAACUGCCAUAAGAUAACAAGUUAAUUAUAUGAAAUACUGUCAAUCUCUAUUUUUUCAUGUUUCUUAUUAUUUAAAAUGCAUAUUUACAGAUGUUUUUUUUUUUUUUU
Bicyclus anynana (squinting bush brown) is the source of this 788-nucleotide long non-coding RNA. RefSeq lists it as uncharacterized. The record is from RefSeq and is a predicted model, not a curated record. The transcript has 3 exons. Lineage: Eukaryota; Metazoa; Arthropoda; Insecta; Lepidoptera; Nymphalidae.